GACAGAGGUGCCGAGCGUUAGGCGGAAUCACUGGGCUUAAAGCGUGUGUAGGCGGACCCAUAAGUACCUUGUGAAAUCCCACGGCUCAACCGUGGAACUGCUGGGUAUACUGCGGGUCUUGAGCGGCCUAGGGGCAGACGGAACAAGUGGUGGAGCGGUGAAAUGCGUAGAUAUCAAGAGGAACACCGGUGGCGAAGGCGGCUCUCUGGAACAAUCCUGACGCUGAGGUGCGAAAGCUAGGGGAGCAAACGGG
Molecule: ribosomal RNA, 253 nt
Filed under: uncultured bacterium
Lineage: Bacteria
Description: partial 16S ribosomal RNA
Rfam family: Bacterial small subunit ribosomal RNA
Source: RNAcentral